RNAcentral lists this long non-coding RNA (1832 nucleotides) under Citrus maxima (pomelo). RNAcentral describes it as "long non-coding RNA (CMAX_LNC002664)". The record is from RNAcentral. Lineage: Eukaryota; Viridiplantae; Streptophyta; Magnoliopsida; Sapindales; Rutaceae.
CGGAUUUGGGACCUUUUUGACAAUUUUUACAAAAAAUUAAUGAAAUCUAGAAUUAAUGAAACACAAGUCCUUACACAAUUCUUUCAUUAGCUUCAUUAUCAGAAGCUCAGGGUGUUAUAUGAUAAUUACACAUCCAAAUAUGGGUAAGUUGAGAGCUUAUCUCUCUGCAGCAACCUUUCAAUCUAGUGUUCACGCUUCGUCUUCUUGAUUUGCUCAUCACAGACUACGCAUUCAAUUCCUUAGACAAUCAUGCAAUAAAGACAAGAACCUUACACAAUGAACAAGUCGGCUAUCGCGAGGUUGCUUUCGCUGUCAGCUGCUCGUCGUGAAUGGCAACUGGACGUUGAUCAAGAUCUGGCUGGGUUCGUUCCGUUUGUGUUGUCGAUGGCGUGAGUCGCCGUGUACGUCAGGUUGUGGCCUGUGUGUGUGGUUUGUGGUCGUGGGUUGGUUUGGCUGGGUUGCGUGGUGCGUCAGGUCGCGUGGGUGGGUUGUUUUGUGAUUUGGAAAUUAGGUUUAGCUGUUUAAGUUUUCGAUUUUUCAUUUAAUUUCUGUUUCUUUUUUUUUUUUUUAAGGAGCAGUGCAAUCCAAUCGGAUUAUUCGGAUUAAUCCGAUCGAAUUGCACAAAUUACAUCCGAUCAGAUUUGAAGCAAAAUCCGAAUCCGAUCUGAAUUUAUUCAGAUCGGAUCGGAUCUAUCCAAAUCCGAUCCGAUGGCCACCCCUAGUUGUAAGCAUAUCAUUGUAAAAGGGGGAGAAAAAUUAAGGGUGGGAAUAUAAUAUAUUUAACAAUAGGGGUGUCUUAAGAUAUUUUUUAAAAUAAAAUAACUAAACGGACUCUUAGAGUAAAAUAUAAGGACUAAACGAAUAUUUACAUUUUUUUAAAUUUAUACAUCACCAAUGAGUGAAAUUUAAAUAAGAGAAGAUCAAAUCAUGAGAAGAUCCUGAUCUAGGCUAGAGGCGCGUCCAACCACCACAUAAGUCCACCACUUAUUGGUUCCUAGCUACGAUUUGUGCACAUAAGAAUGACAUCUUCGUAUCAUUUUUAUCAUAAAUUCAUGGCACUUCAAGGAAAUUUCUAAGCAUACUUCUACAGAGAUAUUUCAAAGAAAUUAGUUCACUUUAUAGCAGAAGAUCAUGAUGUCAUUUUUUCUGCAAGAUUUCCUACCAAAAUUUUUCAAAUUUUUUAAUAGAUAUUCUCUUUGCUAGCUUAAUAUUCAAUCAAGUCCAGGUGUGCAGAAUAUGUAUAAAUAGGGACCAAUUGCUGUACUUGUUCUAUAGUUCUAUGAACCCCAAUGCCAUUGUGCAUGUGUCAAUGUCUCAAUCUAGCUCCAGCUGACUACACUGACUCAGUUAAUUUUUAUGUUCAUCAUCAUAGAGGGAAAAAAAAUCGUACAUUAAUGAUGAAUUUUUUUUUUCUAAUAAGGUUGUUGUUGUUAUUGGUGGUGUUGUUGUUAGGACCUUUACCUUCAUCUUGUUGAGGUACGUCUUAUUAUUUACAGUAAUCAAUAACAUGAUUAAUGCUUUUUAAUUGUUACUUGGCAGCAAUGUUUGUUGUAGAAAACUUUGCAAUCACUAGCCGAUUUUCUGUUACAAAAACAGUGAUUAUUACUUGAAAGAAAAGCUUCCAAACUUUGUAAUCAGUUUCUUGAAUUGAAUAUCACCUAAUCUACGUUUGGCAGUUGGAAUUAGGCAGGAUUGGACUAACUUUUAGAAUAAAUUUUUUUUAUCUUAUCCAAGGUCAUGUUUAGUUGCUUAAAACUAACAAAUUAAUCCAACAUUCAGUCCAAAGAUUUUGGAACUAUUAGUCUCUAUUAUUUCAUGAGUUUAGAUAAGAC